CUAUACUAUCUCAUGCACCCAGGCACAACUUUUCCAGAUUUAAAGAAAAAGAAAAAAGAAAUAAAAGAAAAAAACCUCUGUCUCUACACCUCCAUUCCCAGGGAGAGCUCCCUCUCUGGCACCAAGCUCCCUGGGGUGAGUUUUCUUUUUGAAGAGUCCAGGGGAACAGCCUGCGACGGGUCCUUCUUCCUGGACACUCACGACGCGGACCCAGUUCUCACUCCCACUGAGUGUCGGGUUUCUAGGGAAGCCAAUCAGCGUCGCGCGGCCCCGGUUCUAAAGUCCCCACGCACCCACCGGGACUCGGAGUCUCCCCAGACGCCGACGAUGGGGUCAUGGCGCCCCGAACCCUCCUCCUGCUGCUCUCGGGGACCCUGGCCCUGGCCGAGACCUGGGCGGGCUCCCACUCCAUGAGGUAUUUCAGCACCGCCGUUUCCUGGCCGGGCCGCGGGGAGCCCAGCUUCAUUGCCGUGGGCUACGUGGACGACACGCAGUUCGUGCGGGUCGACAGUGACGCCGUGAGUCUGAGGAUGAAGACGCGGGCGCGGUGGGUGGAGCAGGAGGGGCCGGAGUAUUGGGACCUACAGACACUGGGCGCCAAGGCCCAGGCACAGACUGACCGAGUGAACCUGCGGACCCUGCUCCGCUACUACAACCAGAGCGAGGCGGACCCCCCCCAAGACACACGUGACCCACCCCCCUCUCUGAACAUGAGGCAUAACGAGGUCCUGGGUUCUGGGCUUCUACCCUGCGGAGAUCACAUUGACCUGGCAGCGGGAUGGGGAGGACCAGACCCAGGACAUGGAGCUCGUGGAGACCAGGCCCACAGGGGAUGGAACCUUCCAGAAGUGGGCGGUUGUGGUAGUGCCUUCUGGAGAGGAACAGAGAUACACAUGCCAUGUGCAGCACAAGGGGCUGCCCAAGCCCCUCAUCCUGAGAUGGGAGCCCUCUCCCCAGCCCACCAUCCCCAUUGUGGGUAUCAUUGCUGGCCUGGUUCUCCUUGGAGCUGUGGUCACUGGAGCUGUGGUCACUGCUGUGAUGUGGAGGAAGAAGAGCUCAGUCACACAUUUCUGGAAACUUCUCAAGGUUCCAAGACUAGGAGGUUCCUCUAGGACCUCAUGGCCCUGCUACCUUCCUGGCCUCUCACAGGACGUUUUCUUCCCGCAGAUAGAAAAGGAGGGAGCUACUCUCAGGCUGCAAUGUGAGACAGCUGCCUUGUGUGGGACUGAGAGGCAAGAUUUGUUCAUGCCUUCCCUUUGUGACUUCAAGAACCCUGACUUCUCUUUCUGCAAAGGCAUCUGAAUGUGUCUGUGUCCCUAUAGGCAUAAUGUGAGGUGGUGGGGAGACCAGCCCACACCCGUGUCCACCAUGACCCUGUUCCCCACACUGACCUACAUUCCUUCCCCGAUCACCUUUCCUGUUCCAGAGAAGUGGUGCUGGGAUGUCUCCAUCUCUGUCUCAACUUCAUGGUGCACUGAGCUGUAACUUCUUACUUCCCUAUUAAAAUUAGAAUCUGAGUAUAAAUUUACUUUUUUCAAAUUAUUUCCAUGACGGGUUGAUGGGUUAAUUAAAGGAGAAGAUUCCUAAAAUUUGAGAGACAAAAUAAAUGGAAGACAUGAGAA
Homo sapiens (human) is the source of this 1622-nucleotide long non-coding RNA. Lineage: Eukaryota; Metazoa; Chordata; Mammalia; Primates; Hominidae. The record is from Ensembl.